Long non-coding RNA from Dermochelys coriacea (leatherback sea turtle), 3732 nucleotides. RefSeq lists it as uncharacterized. The transcript is spliced from 2 exons. The record is from RefSeq and is a predicted model, not a curated record. Lineage: Eukaryota; Metazoa; Chordata; Testudines; Dermochelyidae.
UUCUCUAUAGCUGUUCCAUUGAGCAGCUGAUCAUCCCGAGAACUGAUACCUAGCUGUAUGUCCAGAAUCUCCUAUGGGAAGAAGAAAGAAUUGUCCAUCAAUAUUGUGGCUACUUGCUUUGCUGCCAACACAUGGAAGAAUAAGCAAGGAAGAGUCGCAGCUACCUUACCAAAUACCAGUCGGAAGGCAUAUAUUUGUAUACAGAAGAGAAAACAAUGGAGACAAGGUAAGGAAUGUGUACAGCAUGGCAUCUCAUUCAGUCCAUGUUUAAUUACGGUUCGUAGGCCCUGCUAUAAAUUUAGGAGCCAUCUGCCCCUCACCCCCACUGUGAUCUCCCACUGAUGUCACUGAGAGACUCAGAGUGCGAUCCAGGAGAUAAUCUGGCCAUUACACAGUAACUCAACUUUUAGGUAUUUUUUUAUUCAGUACAUCACCACCACACCAGCAUCACUCGGUGUGAAAAUCUGCUCCCUUGCAUCACCACCACUAAUUCUUCCCUUUGUUUUUCUUCCUUUUCCAUCCUCCUGUCUCUGCAUUUCCUUUGUUCUUUCCUCUGGAUUUCCUUCUCUGCAGCAACUCCUAAUUCCCAUCUCCCCUUGGGUUUAACUUCCUGUUAUUUCCCAGUCCAUAUGCUAAAUGCUCUGCAAUAAAACAGUUAAGGUUGCAACUGAAGUGUCAUCACUGGAGCUGACACUCCAAUGAGAUUAAUAGGGGCAGGAGAGUUCAAACCCCCGAGUUAUUGUCAGAAGCCAUCUGCACAUGCAAGCAAACAUUACUGUAUUGAGUACAUUAAGUUUACAUUUUAAAGGUUUUCUCUGCAACCACAAGGACUAGAAAUGUACUUAAAAAAAAAAGACAGCUGAGAUUCUGAACAAUCUGACUAUAUCCUCUGGGCUAUAAAAAUACAUUUAGCAAGCCGGAUCUGGCCCGCAGACCAUGCAUUUAACAUCCCUGGGUCAGGAUCCUUUGGACUGGAGUCCCAUUUUUAGGUGUCAAUAUAGGACCUAAGCAGAGGGAGAUGCAUCUUGGAUCCAAAGUGUCUUCCUCAAUGCAUAGAGUCAUGUCAUAAUGUGAAUCAAAGAAAUGGGAGUAGGCAACGUCUAGGAUGUGUGUAAUUGAUUCAGCUGAUGUGUGUUUGUAAGCAGAGGAGCAAAGGGGUCUAAGAUAGCCCUACCCAAAAGGACAAAGAUCUGCCUAUUAUGGUUUGAAAAAUAAUUUGUUUAGGGGUUGCUGCUUGACAAGUGUAACCCAAGGAAGGAAAAGAGCUCUGGACUAAUUAGGUAGUAUGAUUUCUGACAUGACUUUUAAAGUAAAUCAUAUUCUUUUCUUUUCCACUCUCACCUACCCUUGGUAAAGGCACAGUCCUCUGUUCAUUUGGAGGUUGGCAAGCCAUGGAGUAAUAUCCAUCCAACGAAUUAUAUCUUUCACGCAAUGAUGUCUGACAGACAGAUGAGUGCAUCACAUCCAUUGGAGGUAAAGAAUUGCUCCUAAUAAUGUCAUCCCUUGGGUAUAUCUGUGGACGCCAGAUGCGCCUGCUGUCAUACACCGGAGCAUACAUUCCAGAAGGGACGGGAGGAACUGGUCCAUACUGCUGCGGAGGAGGAGGUUGGUAAGGAGAAUUCAGUCGCUCUCGAGGGGGAAAUGUACUGUAAUGAUCGGCAUAUGGCACGGAAGCAGGUGGGAGGGAGGAUUCUGGAACAUUACUGGACCUCACAAAGCGAGGAACACAGGGAGCCACACCAGCUGGUACUGUUGGAGGUGGUGGGUAGUAUCCUUGAAAAUUGGAAAAAAGCGUAUUUAAUUUGGUCUCAAUAGGAUCAGAAUUUUAAAACAGUUCUAAAAUUUUAAGUAGCACUUGAUACUGACUUCAGAGUAAAGUGUCUUGUUUCUACAGGUCCCCUGUUAACUCCAUCACUUCUCUGUGGAUGAGCAUUGCAUGUUUGAAAACUGGGUCUGCAGGGGCAGUACUAACACUGUACAGGGUGUUCACAGGAACGGACAUUGUUGGGAGGGGUGACAGAGGAGCGGUAUAUUCCACCAUAUGGUAGCACUUUUACAAGAACAGGUGGCAAUUUAGCCCUUCCUCUCCAAACCUAACAUGCGUGUGUAUAUUUUUUAUAUAUGGAGGUUACAUAAAUACUUUUAAAGAAAAAGGUCUGUCAUCUGUUUAUAUACCAACAUUUUGGGUCUAAAGAAUUCUGAGGGUCUUUAAGCCAUCAGCUGGCAAGUGGUUUAUUUUUUUACAUUGCCGAAUAGAUCAUUUCCCCCUCCUAUACUCUACUCCGACAGCUGGGACCUGCCUGAAGUUAGAACCAAUGAUACAGCAGUUUUCUUGGCUGCACUUAAUAGAACCCUCUUUCUUUUACCUAACAUGGUGCUCGUUAGCGUCCUAAAAUACCAAGCACAGUAUGCAGAAGCACUUGGUACAUGGAGUGUCUGCCUCCCAGGUCUCUGCCUAGAUGAAUACUCAAACUAACCAUUCCUCAAGGGCAUACAGACAUUUGUGCAGUCUAUGAGAGGCACGCUGGGACUGUCUGUGUACACAGAUGGCUAGAAAAGAUUUGGGAAAAGCUUGAAUUAUUCAGGACUGUAAAUAUAGUGGGAAAUGCACAACCUGAACUAAAUUCCACCCAUGGAUGCAGACAGACUGAAGUCAAACCCAUACACAUUGGGGUGCAGAGACUGGCUCUCAUUGUGGGUGAGCAGUAAAGAACUGUACACAUGGAGGGGUGAGGAAGGGUGGUGUUUCCAGUAAGAUAUUAUAAAAGGAGACUGCUAAGCUAGCUCCAUGAAGGAUGCAAACAAGAUGGAGUCUCACAUGUUUCACACAAGGAAAGCAAACAACUUUUCUCCACAACACAAGUCUUCAACACAUCUGUCCCCUCUCCAAUAAGUAGGCAUGGUUUAAAUGUUGCUAAACUUCCUUUAAAGAAUUUUGGAGACCUCUCUAGUUAAAUAUGGAAAUAAUGCAAAGAGUGUAGCAAUGCUCCUGCAUUCUGCGGCCUUCUCUUUACUCAAUCAUAAUAUUCAGAGUUCAAAAGCUUGCGUAUUGGGCUCCGCUGAAACCAGGAGGCCCAGCAAAUAAGCCCCAUAUGAACUUGGUGCCAUUGGGAUUUGAAGAAAUUUAGAAAGCACAAACACUGAAACCCAUUCAAGUUUAUACAGGCAAAAGUGAAGGAUUGCCUAUGGCUCAGCAACCAUGUCACUCACCUGUCUGUGGGUACUGUGGAACUUCAUAGGACAACUGUGUUCUAGGAUCUUGAAAAUACUGAACAUUAUCAGAAUGUGGAGGGUAGACAGGUACUCUGGUUACAAAAGGGCUGGAUUUUGGAGGCAGAGAAUUCAUCUCUGUUCCAAUAUUAGGACCACCAGCUGAGGUAGCUGCUGCCUGGCUUACAGGAGUCUUGGGUGGAGAGCAAAUUUUACUGAAAAGAAUUGCAAAGAAAUCAAAUGGAUUUGCAUUUACUACUUAUUAUUUGUAUUCAUCUUUUGUCAUUUCUAACUCAAACACAAAACACUCUAGUAUGACAUAGCCCAAAUUCCUCAUUAUCUCCACUGGUAUUUCUGAAGACUUCAAUUAUUUUUUAAAUACAACAUUGAUGCUAUUAUUAAAAAGCAGACUAUCUUCAAGAGAACGUCAUGCACUCAUAAGCUGAUCUAAACCUUUUAGUUUGUACCUAGAGCUCAGAUACCAGUACUGAAAGCAUGUUCUGGAAACAACAGAUAGGCAUU